RNAcentral lists this long non-coding RNA (471 nucleotides) under Neogobius melanostomus (round goby). Its description in RNAcentral is "lncRNA (ENSNMLG00000019672.1)". The record is from RNAcentral. Lineage: Eukaryota; Metazoa; Chordata; Actinopteri; Gobiiformes; Gobiidae.
CUGAGCACUGCGGGACACAACGCUCUGUAAUAGGGACAAACCCAGGAGGCGCUACCGUUUCAGAGGAUCAAAGGAGACUGAAGGCAGCCCGCCAGGUUUCCACUCAGCGGCUUAGGACUAAUUCUACAUCUGCAUGGGACAGACCUUUGCCAAUCAAAGGAAACCGGUGGAGAGGGGUCACCUGCCAGCCCCAAGUAUUGGAGACAGUGAUGGCAGCCAAGGACUAAUGCCACCUCUAUGAGGAGGUAAUCUACCUGCUGGACUCCCUGCUUCGGACAUUCCUACAGAAGGGUGUGUAUGGCAUCACCACACCAUAUGAUGUGUUGACUGCAAGGGUGAAAGAACUCCUGGGACUUAUCAAAGCAAUUUUGAAAAAAACAAAAAAAAAAGGGGAUUGCCUGAUAUGUAAAUGAACUGUGGAAGUUGUUGAGAUUGUUUAAAUCACAUUGUGGCCUUGGAGUUUAUGCUGUG